This 500-nucleotide ribosomal RNA is filed under the name uncultured Planctomycetota bacterium. RNAcentral describes it as "bacterial SSU rRNA". It matches the Rfam family "Bacterial small subunit ribosomal RNA", at positions 891 to 1382 of the family's 1533-position model. Lineage: Bacteria; Pseudomonadati; Planctomycetota. The record is from RNAcentral.
GCUCAGAAACUCAAAGGAAUUGACGGGGGCUCACACAAGCGGUGGAGCAUGUGUUUAAUCGAGGCUACGCGAAGAACCUUACCUGGGUUUGAAGCGGUAGGUAUAAGCAUGUCGAAAGAUGUGUGAUUGCCCUUCGGGGUGUAACCUAUCACAGGUGCUGCAUGGCUGUCGUCAGCUCGUGUCGUGAGAUGUCGGGUUAAGUCCAUAACGAGCGAAACCCUUGUCCUUAGUUGCUAGCGGGUAAAGCCGAGGACUCUAAGGAGACUGCCGGUGUUAAACCGUGAGGAAGGUGGGGACGACGUCAAGUCAUCAUGGCCUUUAUGUCCAGGGCUACAAACGUGCUACAAUGGCCGGCAUAAAGGGAGGCAAAACCGUGAGGUGGAGCAAAUCUCAAAAAUCCGGCCCCAGUUCGGAUUGGAGGCUGCAAUUCGCCUCCAUGAAGUUGGAAUCGCUAGUAAUCGCGUGUCAGCUACAACGCGGUGAAUGUGUUCCUGAGCCUU